UUAAAUUAAAGAUUCAAUUUGACCUCACCGGUGUCCUCUCUCUGAUACAGAUUGCAGAGCUGGUCGCCACUGAGUUCUUUGAACAGGGGGAUAAGGAGAGACGAGAGCUGAACAUUGAGCCCAGUGACCUGAUGAAUCGUGACAAAAGAGAUAAGAUUCCCAGCAUGCAGGUGUCCUUCAUUGAUGCCAUCUGCACUCAGUUAUAUGAGACUUUGGCAGGCAUGUCAGAGUAUUGCUCCCCAUUGUUGGAAGGAUGUCAGAAGAACCGGCAGCAUUGGAGGCUUUUGGCAGAGGAGUGUGAGAAGGGGCUGGUCAACGGCUUGGUGUGAUCCCAACACCAGUUUGGUUUUCAACCAACACAGAUUUCCAGGGUUAGCCCUGUACAACCCAGUCUCUCAAAAUUUCAUGAAAUUAGCAUGAUAUCUAAAAGGACAAAUAAGAUGCUUUGUGCUUGGAAAGUGCCCAAAAAUAUAAUUUUCCCAAGAUUAUAUAGUGAAAAAAACAUUAGAUUUGGUUUGACAGUGAAAGGGCGGAUACACUGGCCUUUAAAUUUAGCAACCAUAAAGCAGGUUUGGGUCAAGAGUUUUUUCUAAAACAUUAAAAAAUAUUCCAGUUUAUUGCAACUUUGGUCUCAUUUUGGUAGGUUGGUCCAUCCUUUCUUUCUGCAAUGAUAAGACUGUACUCACUAAGUUCAUAACUCAGAUCUGGGAAUCACUAAAGAAGACUAAGAGCCUUGCUAGCAGUCAGGCUUUACUUAGAGACAGCUAAGUCUCUAAGUUGAAAUGCUUACAUAUGCAUGGUAGCAGGUUAACAAGAACAGUGUUAGCAUGCUGAUGUUUGGAGCAGUGAUACUGCCAGGGCCCUACAGGAAGUUUCAGUGGGUCUACAAAAAAUAGAGAAUGGUUUGUUUUCACUAUUUAAUUCACUAUAGAAGAGAGCCUAGUGUGAGUAAGAGUCACAAGAGUGACUGUAGUUGAUAACUAAAUUCUAAUCAGAAUCAUGUCUAAUAACUAAAAUCUUCUUAGAUCGUCUGUGAAGUGAAACUUAUCACAAAGGUCUGUGACCUAAUGUGUAUCAGUUUAGGGGUCCUUGAAAAAAGGUUGAGAACCACAGGUUUAUGGUACUGUAUAAUGUUUCCCAUGUUCUUAGUUGGAAUGUCAUUUGCUUUGCAAGAAUUUUCAUUACCCAAAGUAUCAAUUCAGGAAUGGGAUCACCAAGGUCAUUACAAUGAGUCCUCUGGGAACUAGGACCCAACCAACAAUUGUAUGUGGGGCCCAAAUGGGUCGUAAAUAAACAGAAAAAUGGGCCCUAUAUGGGAUUGUCCACAGAUUCCGUAUUGGCCCUAUGUCAGUUGCCCACAUGGGUGGGUUUACCCAAGUGAUAAGAUGCCCACUUUGGGACCAUAUCCACUUCGUACCAAGGUAGCCCUAGCAUAACCUAUGUGGGGCCCACUUGAUUCAGCCCAACCAUGUGGGCAACUGGCAUGGGGCCAUUAUGGAAACCAUGGACAAUUCCAUAUAGGGCCCAUUUUUAGCCCAUUUACUAUUCACAUGAGCCUGACAUACAAAUGUUGGCUGGGGAAGGAUUGUACAAGUUUCAUGGCGAUCCAUCAAGUGAUGUUGAGAUAUGCCAGUCAGGACCAAAGGGUAGACCAACUAACAGAACGGCAGGCCAUCCACAGAGCCAUGCUGCUAGCAUGGCUAAAAAGAUCACCAAAAGUGGUGCAGUCAGUUAGAGUACUUUUGCAUUACAAAAAAAUGAAAACACCUUUGCAAUUCCUUCAUUCAAUACCAUCAUUGCAUAGCCUAGUCCUGUAACUCUAGAGGCUAACAACAGGAAUGACAGACCAAAGUGCGCCCUCCUCUCACUCGCCUGAUGUAAUGGUUGUUAACAAGUUUAACAACAGAGACGAGCUGUUUCACUGUCAGUGUUAGUUUGUUGGGAUGUUUAGCAGCUCAGUGUUGGAUGUUAGCCACUGCUGCUGUGUUAGCUCGUGCCACCCAGGAAGACUUUGAACUUCGUGUUGCUGAGUGGGCAACAGCUCAGAGCACGACGGCAGCAGAGAGUUUGUUAGGACUGUUUAACGGCCCGGUGUUGGAUGUUAACUGCUGCUGCGUUAGCUUGUGCUUACUGGGCAGACUUUGAACCGACCAUCCGCUAAGAAGAGUGACUCCAAAAACACAGCGACAGAAAGUAUGCUUAUUUGGUGGGGAGUUGGGACAGUGUGGGAUCAGAUCCCCAGCACAUAAAGGACCAAAUAGAAGUAUCAUUUGAAGUUUUGAUACUACUUGGUACUGGGUUAUUUAGGUCGUACCACUGCCCAGCCCUAAUGCAGUACAGUUUAAUCGCUCCCUAUCACAUCUCAGUUUGCAUUUCAUUGUGACAUUCCUGUACUUUUCACCCACAUAUUCAAGUGCUUCCACAUCAUAAAGGCUGUUUCUGCCAUCUUACCAGCUGAACCUCACAUGUGCACUUCACAACUGCAGGAUUGGAUACCUUCCACUAGAACACAGCUAACCACAGAAACGUAGUAGUAGAAGCAUAGAUUUUAAUAAUGUGUAGAUACUGGAUGGCAAAAUGGCAUCAACUCAUUCCAAUGGAGUUGUUUGUCUGGAGCAUAUGCCAAAAAAACGUGAAUAUGCACAGAAGUGUUAUCCGCUGGCUCCUCCCGCAAGUUCCUGUGCAGCUCAUCAUUGUGAUGACAUCACAGGCUUUUUUUUCUCAGCUUGAGGAAAGUUUUACAAAUAUUAAACCUCCAUGGAUCAGAAAUUCGUAACAGAAAGAGUUAUAAUUGACCUUGUUUGCAGUUUGAGGUGUCCUGUCAACGGUUUUACAGACAUCUCUUUGACAAUGGUGGUCUACGGAGAAAAUGCCUUUUUGGGCGCAGGGCAUUUUUCACUGCAGUACCGUGAGUGGCCACCAGGAAAAAGUUGCUGCAAGGCUGAGCAGCAUUCCUGUGGGCCUGAGUAGAAGUAGUAGCUACUUUGCAACACUUUACCCCUGACAUCAUUAUUAUCAUCAUUUCUCUUUGCACUGUGAUCACUUUGGAUUUUUUUCUCCAAGUAAAGUGGAUUUAUAAAAUCUGGCUAAAUUGGCUCGUCUAACAGCUCAUUUCUUGCCCUGCUGGACUGCGUUGGAGCAAUGUAACUAUGUUCCCAGAUCUCAGCAAUAACUUCAGUGAGUACAAAUCAUAACAGUUAAAACGUUUGCCUAAAUCUAGUUAUCAUAUCUUCUACCAUAAACACGUUCAUUAAAAAAAAUCAUGACAAACAGGUGAUAAUGAUGUGCAUGUUCAUAACCCAUAUUUCCGAGGUCAUGCUCAUUUCACCAAGCUUUGUGAGACUUGUCCUCCUGUCAUCACCAUUCUUUCAUGGCUGUCUUUCACCAGAGAAAAUAACAGAGUCAGCACUAAGCUAUAUUUAUUACAAUAGUCAUUUUUUGUUUUUGCACAGAGUGGCUUUCAUCUUGAAGUCUCACUUACAUUAUCUCUCACAGGUAGUAACAUUUAGGGGAACACUGAAUGAUGAGACAUAGAUCCCUGGGGAUCAGCACCAGUACAGUGGUAAACAGAUACUGUACUUAUAAUAUGUUUUACAUAAUGUCACAAUUAUCUGAUACAUUCAUACAAGGAGGGUAAGGGCCAAAGAAAAAAAAGUCUUAGAUUUUGAGAAUAGAGUUGCAAAUCUACAAGAAUAAAUUCAUAUAUCUAGAGAAAAAAUAGUCACAGUUUAAAACCAGAAAGUCAGGUAACAUGAUAUAAAAAGCAACAAAGUGUGUACAAACAGUGUUAAGGGUGACAGUAAUAUAUAUUUUAGCAGUACCAAAGUAAUAUAACACGUUGCCAACAAGAUUUCAGGUGAUAUUAUUACAUUUACAAUGUAAUGUAAUGCAUUACCACCCAAAAACUGUUUAUUUUUGUAAUCAUUUUUCAUUUAUCCAGUGUGAUUACGAGCUUAGUCUUGUAACAUUUAAACUUUAUUCUCAUAGAUUUACGACCUUAUUCUCACAGAUUCACUACUUUAUUCUUGUAGAUGUACAACUUUGUUCUUGUAAUAUUAUGACUUUGUUCUUGUAGAUUUAUUACUUUAUUCUCAUAACAUUAUGACUUUAUUCUCAUAGAUUUACGACUUUAUUGUAGAUUUCUGACUUUAUUCUCUUAAUAUUAUGGUUUUAUUCUCGUAGAUGUAUGACUUUAUUCUCGAAAUCUAAGAUUUUUUUUUCAACAUCGAGCUAAUUGUCCUUUGUAGUGAUAAGCUUGUUAAAUGUCUUCAUUCACAGCACACACAGCUCACACACACUACAAGGGUUUGAGUCUUUUGUAACAUUUUUUUUUCCACUCAUUGUCUUAACUAUUGUAUAUUUAUUUAUGUUUUAUAUAUUUAUUAGAUUUUCUAUAUUGUAAGGUCAUCCUUUUGUCAAGAGCACACAAUUCUCUAUAUAGGAAAUGUAGUUUUCAUACUUAAAAAAUAUCCUAUCUCUGCUUUUUUGAAGGAGCUUUCUUAGGAAUUAAUCUUUUAGAUGACAUUUGUACUGUAAUGUGUUGUUUGAAAUUUAGAUUUUAUUUUCUUCUUUUCAAAAUGUAAGAGAGCCAAAGACUAGGCCUGCGAUUUCAAUGGGAAAUGGGUCUAACUUUUUCCACUGCCUUGUUGUGAUAAAAUAGGACCAAUUCACAAUUAAAAAAUGUUUGUAUUUGUUCACAUCUUUCUGCACCCUUUGA
Long non-coding RNA from Epinephelus moara (kelp grouper), 4717 nucleotides. RefSeq lists it as uncharacterized. The record is from RefSeq and is a predicted model, not a curated record. The transcript is spliced from 3 exons. Lineage: Eukaryota; Metazoa; Chordata; Actinopteri; Perciformes; Serranidae.